RNAcentral lists this ribosomal RNA (301 nucleotides) under uncultured bacterium. RNAcentral's name for it is "partial 16S ribosomal RNA". It matches the Rfam family "Archaeal small subunit ribosomal RNA", at positions 459 to 760 of the family's 1478-position model. The record is from RNAcentral.
CAGCAGCCACGGGAACACCAGCACCUCGAGUGGUCAGGAGGUUUAUUGGGCCUAAAGCAUCCGUAGCCGGUUGCAUAAGUUUUCGGUUAAAUCUAUGCGCUUAACGUAUAGGCCGCCGAAAAUACUGUGCAGCUAGGGAGUGGGAGAGGUACACGGUACUCGAUAGGAAGGGGUAAAAUCCUUUGAUCUAUUGAUGACCACCUGUGGCGAAGGCGGUGUACCAGAACACGUUCGACGGUGAGGGAUGAAAGCUGGGGGAGCAAACCGGAUUAGAUACCCGAGUAGUCCCUGUCUCUUAUAA